RNAcentral lists this unclassified non-coding RNA (2175 nucleotides) under Hevea brasiliensis (rubber tree). Lineage: Eukaryota; Viridiplantae; Streptophyta; Magnoliopsida; Malpighiales; Euphorbiaceae. The record is from RNAcentral.
AACAAACUUCCAUGAAAUUGCCUGUUCAACAGCCGUCAAGCUUAAACUCUUCAUGGGCAGUUGAUGACUUGAUGCAGUUCUCAGACUUCGAAUCAACCACUGACAAGGUAAUGAAAUUGAUAUAUGGAUUCAAUACCAUUACUCAACAUUUAUAUUCCUAUUUUAUUGUCUUUGCAAAGACUAACAAUAUUGGAGAACUUCGGAAUAAUAUUACCAAGAAAAGACGAGAACUAUUUGGUUCUAGCCUAGCUUUAUCUAUUUUUGGGUUAAGCACCAGAACAACUAACCUUUGUUUCAAAUUUGCAAUUUUGGCCAAUCCUUUUUUAUUUUUUCAUUUUCAUACGCAAUUUUUCAUAGUAAUGUGGAUUGUAGCCAAACUUUGAAAGAAGGUUUGCCAAAACUCUCAAAUCAGUGAAAAGGUUCAGAUUUUUCUCUUCCUUUUUCUUUUUAAUUUUCAAAUGUUAAAUAAUAAUUAAUACUUCCUAAAACUAAUACCUUUUGGAGGGUCUUUCACUUGAAUAUUACCACAUUAGAUGCUAAUAUGAAAAAAACUAUCGAACGAAACAUAUGCUGUGGUAAUAAUUUGAGAAUUUUAGUAUACAUCCUUUCAAGUUUGGCUACACUGGAGACCAAUGCAAAAUGUUGUGUAUGAUUUCAGUUUUAUUUAACUAUGUAAUAGGAAUCAAUACUAUAUAUAGUCAAUUUUUUGAAACUAGUGCUUGAUUAUUUUUUGGUACACAUAUUUAUGUUUACAGCUUACCAAGUUGAGUUAAUUCUUAUAUCAACCUUAGUUGGUAGCCUCAUUUCAAGAGAAAUAGCCAUAGAAAUUAUAUGAACGAAAUAAACUAAAUUGAAAAGCAAUCUCUGAUCAAACAAUUUUCAUUGUAAAAGAAAUUUGUCAAGGUUUAUAUUAAAAUAGCUCAGCGAAGUUUAUGAAUGUCACUAGUUCUUCAAAUUAUCUGAAUCUGCACUUCAUUUCCCAUGCGUUUCAACAUUUUGAUGGUUUGCAUUUAUUAACAAGCUAAAUCUUCCAGCUCUGAAUUUUGAAUGCAUGAUUAUUUUUCCUUCUUUGUUAUUGGAAGGACAAUGAUGAUGAAACUGUUGAUUGAAUUUUAUCUUAAAAAUCUUCAGGUGUUGUUAAACAUUCUUGUUUCUUCUUAUAUCUGCAGAAAGAGCAUCUUGAAUUUGGAGAGUUUCAGUGGUUAGCUGACGUGGGACUUUUCGGUGAGCAACUUCCUCAAGAGGCACUAGCAGCAGCUGAAGUUCCUCAAUUGACAGUUCCACCGUCAGUCAAUGUUACUUCAUACAGAGCAUCCAAGUCCAACAUGCCUAAUAAGAAGCCUAGGAUUGAGGUUUGCAAUGAAGAUGAAGAGUUCUUUACAGUACCUGAUCUUGGCUGAAGUGGGUCAUAUACUCUAUUACUCGGUUUUAUGGUUUGGUAAACUAUACGUAAUAUACAUGCAAUGAAUGUAUCUGCGUAUUUUAUCACAAGAUAUGUUAGGAGAAACAUAAAGGUUAGUUUAGGGAAUUUACAUAUUCUACAUUAUAUUAUAUUAUUAUUUUGGUUCACCAGUAUGGCAGUAUCACUCUCUGCUAUUGGGUGUAACAAUCAUGCCAUCCACUGUGAUGGUCGUGAUUAUGAUAUUGGAACUGGAUCAGUGCUUUUGUUGCUCUUUUAUGUUUCACUGUCUUGAAUCUUUAUCUUAGUGAUUACAUUGACCUUGUAUGGAUUGUUUUCUCCUGGACAACUGGCUUCGUUUUGUGAGCAAUCAAGAAGAGGAUUAAAGCAAGCAUUUCUUCAAGUUCAGCUAGGAAGCAAUGUCAUUUAAAAUGGAGAAGAGUUACUCUCUUGAAUGGAAGCAUCAUCUUAAUGUCAUCCACCGACAAACCCGAUGGUCCAUGAUUCUGUUGGCCAUUAGUCAAGCCUGCUUUAAGCUCAGAAGAUGGUCGGCUUGCGCCUGCACCUAUGAAAAACCAAGCUGCACCGCAUGCCGAAGACCAAACAACAGCACCUAACCUUCAGCAAUAACCGAGUUCAAAGCAACACUCUGGUGUUUACAAGGUGCCGAGACAAUUAAACCAGUUGAGGAAGAAGCUGUAAGAAUGAAUCAUCCCCGUUAAGCUUGAUCCCAGAGGAAGGUACUGCCCAUCAACUCUAAGCUGUUUUAUCCGACA